UACGCCAACCAUGCUAAAUUGUCUUAUGUACAAACUCUCAUAUUACAGGUUUGUGGAAACUGAUGGUAAAGGUUUUGAUAGAGUAAGGCGAACAGAAAUUGGGAAGAAACAUUUCAAACUUACCCAUUUUGAGGAGGUAUUCACAACUCACCAUUGGAUGGUCCGCAUAUACAAAUUGAAGCCUCCUAAGAACAGAAUCCGAGGAAAGGCCAAAAAGUUAAAAUCGAAAACAAGCACAACUACAAGCACGAAAAGAAGUGGAGCUAAUAAGAGGAAUCCAUGGCAUUAGGUAACUUUUUACAGGUUUAUGUUCUUAGACGACUGUAUUUCAUAUAUAAUUUGUACUCGGGCAUUUGGAGAGGGAUCAUGCUGGCAUAGUUGAUCUUUUUCCUUGUGAGAUGCAAAGGGUCAAAUCAAAGAUUUUGCUUUCUUUUAAAAUGACCUUGUAUUUUCUCUCAACGUUAUGUUGUAACAAACGCUAAUCAUUUUUGGAUUAAUAGCUUUGAAUUUACCGAGCAAUGCAAAAUUAUAUAUGAAA
Molecule: unclassified non-coding RNA, 538 nt
Filed under: Hevea brasiliensis (rubber tree)
Lineage: Eukaryota; Viridiplantae; Streptophyta; Magnoliopsida; Malpighiales; Euphorbiaceae
Source: RNAcentral